This 621-nucleotide ribosomal RNA is filed under the name uncultured bacterium. RNAcentral describes it as "bacterial SSU rRNA". It matches the Rfam family "Bacterial small subunit ribosomal RNA", at positions 338 to 1414 of the family's 1533-position model. The record is from RNAcentral.
CCUACGGGAGGCAGCAGUGGGGAAUUUUGGACAAUGGGCGCAAGCCUGAUCCAGCAAUGCCGCGUGAGUGAAGAAGGCCUUCGGGUUGUAAAGCUCUUUUGUCAGGGAAGAAACGGUCUACUCUAAUACAGUGGGCUAAUGACGGUACCUGAAGAAUAAGCACCGGCUAACUACGUGCCAGCAGCCGCGGUAAUACGUAGGGUGCAAGCGUUAAUCGGAAUUACUGGGCGUAAAGCGUGCGCAGGCGGUUAUAUAAGUCAGAUGUGAAAUCCCCGGGCUCAACCUGGGAACUGCAUUUGAGACUGUAUGGCUAGAGUGUGUCAGAGGGGGGUAGAAUUCCACGUGUAGCAGUGAAAUGCGUAGAUAUGUGGAGGAAUACCGAUGGCGAAGGCAGCCCCCUGGGAUAACACUGACGCUCAUGCACGAAAGCGUGGGGAGCAAACAGGAUUAGAUACCCUGGUAGUCCACGCCCUAAACGAUGUCUACUAGUUGUCGGGACUUAAUUGUCUUGGUAACGCAGCUAACGCGUGAAGUAGACCGCCUGGGGAGUACGGUCGCAAGAUUAAAACCGUCAAAGUAUAGUAGGCGUGAGACGUGCGACGGAGACACCGAGGGAGGAGG